Molecule: long non-coding RNA, 232 nt
Filed under: Phoenix dactylifera (date palm)
Lineage: Eukaryota; Viridiplantae; Streptophyta; Magnoliopsida; Arecales; Arecaceae
Description: long non-coding RNA (PDAC_LNC004806)
Source: RNAcentral
CCCGGUUCCAAAAGAUUUUGGAUUUGUAUUUGCUGACGAAACUACCCUUUAUUCCUCCCUUGGGCCUUCCGGCUUCCUUUGUUCCUCUUCUUCUCGACUGACUCCUCUUCCUCUUCCUCUCAUUGUCAUCUUCCUCUCGAUCCAGGAAGAAACCUUUCUUCGUCUUCCUCUUCCUCUCAACCGAGUAUUUUUCUUCUCGACCCAGAAAGAAACCCUUCUUCUUCUUCCUCUC